This 253-nucleotide ribosomal RNA is filed under the name uncultured bacterium. Its description in RNAcentral is "partial 16S ribosomal RNA". It matches the Rfam family "Bacterial small subunit ribosomal RNA", at positions 524 to 776 of the family's 1533-position model. The record is from RNAcentral.
UACAGAGGUCCCAAGCGUUGUUCGGAUUCACUGGGCGUAAAGGGUGCGUAGGCUGUCGGGUAAGUCUGACGUGAAAUCUCCAAGCUCAACUUGGAAAUGGCGUCGGAUACUAUUCGGCUUGAGGAGUGGAGGGGAGACUGGAAUUCUCGGUGUAGCAGUGAAAUGCGUAGAUAUCGAGAGGAACACCAGUGGCGAAGGCGAGUCUCUGGACACUUCCUGACGCUGAGGCACGAAAGCCAGGGGAGCAAACGGG